This 253-nucleotide ribosomal RNA is filed under the name uncultured bacterium. RNAcentral's name for it is "partial 16S ribosomal RNA". It matches the Rfam family "Bacterial small subunit ribosomal RNA", at positions 524 to 776 of the family's 1533-position model. The record is from RNAcentral.
UACGUAGGUGGCAAGCGUUGUCCGGAAUUAUUGGGCGUAAAGCGCGCGCAGGCGGUCCUUUAAGUCUGAUGUGAAAGCCGACGGCUCAACCGUGGAGGGGCAUUGGAAACUGGGGGACUUGAGUACAGAAGAGAAGAGUGGAAUUCCACGUGUAGCGGUGAAAUGCGUAGAUAUGUGGAGGAACACCAGUGGCGAAGGCGACUCUUUGGUCUGUAACUGACGCUGAGGCGCGAAAGCGUGGGGAGCAAACAGG